GACGAACGCUGGCGGCGUGCUUAACACAUGCAAGUCGAACGGAAAGGCCCUGCUUGCAGGGUACUCGAGUGGCGAACGGGUGAGUAACACGUGGGUGAUCUGCCCUGCACUUCGGGAUAAGCCUGGGAAACUGGGUCUAAUACCGGAUAGGAGCCAUUUUGAGUGUGAUGGUUGGAAAGUUUUUUCGGUGUAGGAUGAGCUCGCGGCCUAUCAGCUUGUUGGUGGGGUAAUGGCCUACCAAGGCGGCGACGGGUAGCCGGCCUGAGAGGGUGGACGGCCACAUUGGGACUGAGAUACGGCCCAGGCUCCUACGGGAGGCAGCAGUGGGGAAUAUUGCACAAGGGGCGCAAGCCUGAUGCAGCGACGCCGCGUGGGGGAUGACGGCCUUCGGGUUGUAAACGCCUUUCGCUAGGGACGAAGCUUUUUGUGACGGUACCUAGAUAAGAAGCACCGGCUAACUACGUG
This 465-nucleotide ribosomal RNA is filed under the name uncultured bacterium. Its description in RNAcentral is "partial 16S ribosomal RNA". It matches the Rfam family "Bacterial small subunit ribosomal RNA", at positions 28 to 507 of the family's 1533-position model. The record is from RNAcentral.